GGCAUAAGCGCACUUGUUCGUUAAGAAGACAAUAUCACAGGGAUCAGAUCCACCUAUAUUCGCGCAUUUUCUGAAUACCGGUUCUGCUUGGUCCUUGAACUCUUCUGGUAGAACUGCCAGUACUCCAUCUACAUCUAUUGAACCGUCAUCCUCAAUAGUUCCGAUUUCAUUAAGGAUGCAUCUCAUGUAGCACUUUAGCUUUGGAUCUUCAGGGAAUUCACCUUUGCGUGCAUUCAAUAUCAAAUUUUCGUCCACUCCCGUCUGGCCUAAGCAUUCGUUAUGCAAAUUGUCCAUUAGUGCCUGGACUUCUUCGUCAACAGCAUGAACAAAUUUUGUAGUUGAACACAAUCCAAUGAAAAGUAACACCAGGUUCAGCAUCUUCCUUACCG
RNAcentral lists this unclassified non-coding RNA (389 nucleotides) under Hevea brasiliensis (rubber tree). The record is from RNAcentral. Lineage: Eukaryota; Viridiplantae; Streptophyta; Magnoliopsida; Malpighiales; Euphorbiaceae.